UGGGGAAUAUUGGACAAUGGGCGAAAGCCUGAUCCAGCAAUGCCGCGUGUGUGAAGAAGGUCUUCGGAUUGUAAAGCACUUUCGACGGGGACGAUGAUGACGGUACCCGUAGAAGAAGCCCCGGCUAACUUCGUGUCAG
RNAcentral lists this ribosomal RNA (139 nucleotides) under uncultured bacterium. Its description in RNAcentral is "partial 16S ribosomal RNA". It matches the Rfam family "Bacterial small subunit ribosomal RNA", at positions 355 to 511 of the family's 1533-position model. The record is from RNAcentral.